RNAcentral lists this unclassified non-coding RNA (313 nucleotides) under plant metagenome. RNAcentral describes it as "partial contains 5.8S ribosomal RNA, internal transcribed spacer 2, and large subunit ribosomal RNA". The stretch from base 1 to 104 matches the Rfam family "5.8S ribosomal RNA", at positions 51 to 154 of the family's 154-position model. The record is from RNAcentral.
AAAUGCGAUAAUUAAUGUGAAUUGCAGAAUUCAGUGAAUCAUCGAGUCUUUGAACGCACAUUGCGCCCCCUGGUAUUUCGGGGGGCAUGCCUGUCCGAGCGUCAUUGCUGCCCUCAAGCACGGCUUGUGUGUUGGGCUUCCGUCCCUGGCAACGGGGACGGGCCCAAAAGGCAGUGGCGGCACCAUGUCUGGUCCUCGAGCGUAUGGGGCUUUGUCACCCGCUCCCGUAGGUCCAGCUGGCAGCUAGCCUCGCAACCAAUCUUUUUAACCAGGUUGACCUCGGAUCAGGUAGGGAUACCCGCUGAACUUAAGC